GACGAACGCUGGCGGCGUGCUUAACACAUGCAAGUCGAACGGAAAGGCCCUGCUUUUGUGGGGUGCUCGAGUGGCGAACGGGUGAGUAACACGUGUGUAACCUGCCCUUGACUUUGGGAUAACUUCAGGAAACUGGGGCUAAUACCGGAUAGGAUCUCCUGCUGCAUGGUGUGGGUUGGAAAGUUUCGGCGGUUGGGGAUGGACUCGCGGCUUAUCAGCUUGUUGGUGGGGUAGUGGCUUACCAAGGGUUUGACGGGUAGCCGGCCUGUGAGGGUGAACGGGGACAAUGGGACUGAGAUACGGCCCAGAAGCCUACGGGAGGCAGCAGUGGGGAAUAUUGCACAAUGGGAGGAAGCGUGAUGAAGAAACGCCGCGUGCGGGAUGACGGCCUACGGGUUGAAAACAGAUUUCGCAUGUGACGAAGAGUGAGUGACGGUAAUGGGUAAAGAAGCACCGGCUAACUACGUG
This 468-nucleotide ribosomal RNA is filed under the name uncultured bacterium. RNAcentral describes it as "partial 16S ribosomal RNA". It matches the Rfam family "Bacterial small subunit ribosomal RNA", at positions 28 to 507 of the family's 1533-position model. The record is from RNAcentral.